Molecule: long non-coding RNA, 3928 nt
Filed under: Sus scrofa (pig)
Lineage: Eukaryota; Metazoa; Chordata; Mammalia; Artiodactyla; Suidae
Description: lncRNA (ENSSSCG00005024715.1)
Source: RNAcentral
UUUUUUUUUUUUUUUUGGCCACAUCUGGGGCAUACGGAAGUUCCUGGCCAGGGAUCGAAUCCAAGCUGCAUCUGCUGCCUGUUCCAUAGUUGCAGCAAUGCUGGAUCCUUAACCCACCACACCACAGUGGGAACGUCUAAUGCCUUUUUAAAGAGGUUUACUAUGAGUGAUUUCCAAUGCUUGUUCUCUGAGAUCAUAACCUGGGGUGUAAUUAAUAAAUAUGUGUUCACCUUUGCCCCUUGAUUUUGUUAGGUGGCCUGUAUGAGAUAGAAAAACGUCAUUACUUGAGGUCCUUUUAAGAGAUAGUGUCAUCCUGAAGAGUAUUUCAUUCAAAAAGGACAGAGAAAAAAUAUAAGGCAACUCUCUUUUCUGAAGAAUGAUAUUUUGGGGAAAAAUCUGCUUUCUACUCUGGCAUAAAUGAUAUAUAUUUCCAUUUAAGAACAUCUGUACCUAAACCCCACUUCAGCUUCUCAGGAAGUCAGACUGGCCCAACUAUUUUUUUCACAAGAUGCUAUAAGGUGGAGUGUAGCAGGCCUACACUUUGUGGUUAUUUUGUGCUAAAAGAAUACAUCACAGGGAAGUCUGAGACCGCUUUUUAGAAUUGGGUGACUUGGUUAUUAUUCAACAUUUGCCUAUAGUUAUAAAGCGCAUUUUAAUGGGAAGCAGGUACGGUUGUUCUAAAGCAAUUCAUAAAAUGCCUAGGGAGUUCCUCUUGUGGCUCAGCUGGUUAUGAACCCAACUAGUAUCCAUGAGGAGUCAGGUUCAAUCCCUGGCCUUCCUCAGUGGGUUAAGGAUCUGGCGUUGUCACGAGCUAUGGUGUAGGUCAUAGAUGCGGCUUGGAUCCUGCUUUGCUGUGGCUGUGGUGUAGGCUGGCAGCUGCAGCUCCGAUUCCACCCCUCACCUGGGAACUUCCAUAUAUCAUGGGCAUGGCCCUAAAAAGCUAAAAAUAAAAUUGCCUAAAUGCUCUGUGGCUGCAGAAUUACUCGAAGUCCCAUGAUCCUUAUGUGCCCUAAGAAUAGUAAUCUUUUGUCAUUUUGCAUUUUCCCAAUGAAUAGAAAUGGAAACUGCUCUGAAAGUAGGGAGCAGAGUUCUAAGCGAUUUUGGCUGGUUUGUAGCUGCAUUUCAUCCAUCAGCAAGUGGCUAAAAGGGGUCCAGAGAAUGGCAAAUUGGGGUGACAGGAUAUGGGGACUCAAGAAAAAAGGCAUAGGCAGAGGGGCAGAGGGGCCCUGCCCAGAAGAGCUACUGGAAGACGAAUUUGAAGGCAGAAGGGAGAAGCCUAGCUGUGCAGGGCUAUCUGCUGGCACCUCAUGAAGCACUUGUUUUUUUCACCAUGAGCAACAGUUUUAUCUUAGUUGCAGGUGUUUCCUUUAGAGCUAAGUUUAGCAAAUGAAAGAGCAUGUCAAACUAACCAGUUCAUCAGAACUAAGGAGUAAGAAAUAUGAUUAUUGCCAUUUUUGCUGCUAAUUUUAAAAGGACCUUUAUUAUGAAGGAAAAAAAAAAAGAAAGAAAGAAAGAAAGAAAUGCAAUCCAUGCAAAGAAAGCAAAAGCACAAGUCAGCUGGUUUCUUUUUCCUCACCCCUACUACCAAGAGCUGUAAUCUGGGGGAGACGUCAGAUAAUUCAAAGCUAUGAUAGCAAAUUAGGUUUCCAGAAAAGACAUAAUUUUUUAGAAAGCCACAGUAAAGACUUUUUUUUUUUCUUUUUAGGGCCGUGCCUGCGGCAUAUGUAAGUUCCCAGGCUAGGGGUCAAAUCGGAGCUGUAGCCACCAGCCUACACCACAGCCACAGCAACGUGGGAUCUAGGCAGCAUCUACUACCACCUACACCACAGCUCAGGGCAACGCCAGAUCCUUAACCCAUUGGGUGAGGCCAGGGAUCAAACCGGCAUCCUCAUGGUUAGUGCUGAGCCACAACGGAAACGUCCAAGAUGGUUUUAAUAAUGUUUCAGACAGGAGUUUCCAUCGUAGUGCAGUGGAAAUGAAUCUGACUAGUAUCCAUGAGGCUGCGGGUUUGAUCCCUGGCCUUGUUCAGUGGGUUAAGCAUCCAGCAUUGCCAUGAGCUGUGGUGUAGGUUGCAGAUGUGGCUCAGAUCUGGCAUUGCUGUGGCUGCAGUGUUGACCGGCAGCUAUAGCUCCAGUUGGACCCCUAACCUGGAAACUUCCAUAUGCACUGGUGCAGCCCUAAAAAGAAAGAAAAAAAAAAAAGUUGGAAACAACUAUUAAGCACUGUAUUUAGAAAAUGCUUCUUUGCUUAUUAAUGGGGAAAACCUUUUUUUUUUUGUUUUGGUAAUCAAAGUAUAGUUGAUUUACAAUGUCAUGUUAGCUAUUUCUGGUACACAGCAAAGUGAUUCCAUUAUACACAUAUAUAUAUUCUUUCUUUUCAUAUUCUUUCCCAUUAUGGUUCAUCACAGGAUAUUGACUGUAGUUCUCUGUGCUAUACAGUAGGACUUUGUUGUUUAUCCAUCCUUUUUAUAAUAGCAUUUGCCAGUCACCAAUCCCAAUCCAACCCUCCCCCGCUCCUGUUGGCAACCACAAGUCUGUUCUCUAUAUCUGUGAGUCUGUUUCUGUAUUGUAGAUAAAUUCAUUUGUAUCAUAUUUUAGAUUCCACAAUGGGGAGAACCUUUUAAAAUGAGGUACGAGUUAUCUGGUGGAAGAAAUACACUACGCUAGUAUGAGAAGCACUCCACUGGGUUUCACAUAUAUUCACUUGAUAGUUCUCCAUAGUAUUUUCUUCUGGAAUAUAGUAUUAGAAAAGUUUUCAAAUAGAAUGAGCAGGAAGAACUGCCUUGAUCAUAGCAGAAACUGAGAAGGCAAAAAUGAAGAGGCAGUUUCUUGCCUGGAUCUGUCACCUGGCCACCAGAUGGGAGACAAGGCAAAGCUAUUAGACCUGCAAAGCAAUAAGGUGAGGUGUGAAAAAAACAAAGAACUCCUUUCCGGCUGACAUUUUUGUCUAGACAACCAGUUUACACUUGUGCCCCUGAUAAUGACCAACAUCUCUUAACCUGAAUACCAGCCAGCUACAUCCUCAGGGGAAAAUGAGUAUCAUUUUUCUUAUUAACCAUUUCAAAGGGGGAAAUCCUGGGGGGAAAAGCAAUAGGAAAAACUACUGGAGGUUCUUUUUUCUUUCUGGCCUUGCCUGCAGCACAUGGAAGUUCCCAGGCCUGGGAUUGAACCCAUGCUAUAGCAAUGACCAGAACCAUGGCAGUAACAAUGCUAGAUCCUUAGCCCACUAAGCCACUAGGGAAGUCCCUUUUUUUUUUCUUUUAGUGAAAAAUCAAAACUCAGGAAAUAGUCGAAGCAAUUAAUAGAAUGCUUACAAUGAAGUCUAUGUAUGGCUUUCUGAGGUGUUUUUCAGUUUGAAUUGUACUUUAGGAAGACAUUGCUAUAAAAUUGGUCAAUUCAAGCGUUAAAAAAAUAUCAACUGACUUAAUUUUAAAGAUCUUAAUUGGUUUUAUUGAAUUAUUCAUGAAGCUGUCAGCAUCCCAUCUGGCAAAGAGAACGGAGAUCCAAGGAGCUGUACAAAAUGGAAAGCUUUAUAGGCAGAAGGGGGGAAAGAGAAAAAAAAAGGUUUGUUUUACCUACCUAUUGCAAUGGCAGGGUGCUCUGUAGAAGAUUACCUCAUGGGUGCUGACCUGAAAAUUCCAGACUGACCAGUUAAGAUUAUAUUCCUGGCAGUUACGGUCGUGGCUCAGCGGAAAUGAAUCUGACUAGCAUCCAUGAGGACGCAGGUUCGAUCCCUGGCCUCGCUCAUGGGUUAAGGAUCCGGCGUUGCUGUGAGCUGUGGUGUGGGUCACAGACGUGGUUCAGAUCUCACCUCGCUGUGGCUGUGGCGUAGGCCAGUGGCUACAGCUCUGAUUAGACCCCUAGCCUGGGAACCUCCAUAUGCCGUGGGUACAGCCCUAAAAAGAUAUUAAAAAAAAAAAAAAGAAAAA